Molecule: ribosomal RNA, 439 nt
Filed under: uncultured bacterium
Lineage: Bacteria
Description: partial 16S ribosomal RNA
Rfam family: Bacterial small subunit ribosomal RNA
Source: RNAcentral
CUACGGGCGGCUCCAGUGAGGAAUAUUGCACAAUGGGGGGAGCCCUGAUGCCGCAACGCCGCGUGGAGGAUGACGCAUUUCGGUGUGUAAACUCCUUUUAUAUGUCAAGAAAAUGACGGUAGCAUAUGAAUAAGCACCGGCUAACUCCGUGCCAGCAGCCGCGGUAAUACGGAGGGUGCAAGCGUUACUCGGAAUCACUGGGCGUAAAGGACGCGUAGGCGGGUUGGAAAGUCAGGUGUGAAAUCCUACAGCUUAACUGUAGAACUGCACUUGAAACUUCUAAUCUAGAGUAUGGGAGGGGGAGAUGGAAUUAGUGGUGUAGGGGUAAAAUCCGUAGAUAUCACUAGGAAUACCUAAAGCGAAGGCGAUCUCCUGGAACAUUACUGACGCUAAGGCGUGAAAGCGUGGGGUGCAAACAGGAUUAGAUACCCGCGUAGUC